Molecule: ribosomal RNA, 1047 nt
Filed under: uncultured archaeon
Lineage: Archaea
Description: bacterial SSU rRNA
Rfam family: Archaeal small subunit ribosomal RNA
Source: RNAcentral
AGACACGGACCCAGGCCCUAUGGGGCGCAGCAGGCGAGAAAACUUUGCAAUGUGCGAAAGCACGACAAGGUUAAUCCGAGUGGUUUCUGCUAAAGGAACCUUUUGUCAGUCCUAGAAACACUGAUGAAUAAGGGGUGGGCAAGUUCUGGUGUCAGCCGCCGCGGUAAAACCAGCACCUCAAGUGGUCAGGAUGAUUAUUGGGCCUAAAGCAUCCGUAGCCGGCUCUGUAAGUUUUCGGUUAAAUCUGUACGCUCAACGUACAGGCUGCCGGGAAUACUGCAGAGCUAGGGAGUGGGAGAGGUAGACGGUACUCGGUAGGAAGGGGUAAAAUCCUUUGAUCUAUUGAUGACCACCUGUGGCGAAGGCGGUCUACCAGAACACGUCCGACGGUGAGGGAUGAAAGCUGGGGGAGCAAACCGGAUUAGAUACCCGGGUAGUCCCAGCUGCAAACUAUGCAAACUCAGUGAUGCAUUGGCUUGUGGCCAAUGCAGUGCUGCAGGGAAGCCGUUAAGUUUGCCGCCUGGGAAGUACGUACGCAAGUAUGAAACUUAAAGGAAUUGGCGGGGGAGCACCACAAGGGGUGAAGCCUGCGGUUCAAUUGGAGUCAACGCCAGAAAUCUUACCCGGAGAGACAGCAGAAUGAAGGUCAAGCUGAAGACUUUACCAGACAAGCUGAGAGGUGGUGCAUGGCCGUCGCCAGCUCGUGCCGUGAGAUGUCCUGUUAAGUCAGGUAACGAGCGAGAUCCCCGCCUCUAGUUGCCACCAUUACUCUCAGGAGUAGUGGGGCGAAUUAGCGGGACCGCCGCAGUUAAUGCGGAGGAAGGAAGGGGCCACGGCAGGUCAGUAUGCCCCGAAACUCUGGGGCCACACGCGGGCUGCAAUGGUAAUGACAAUGGGUUCCAAAUCCGAAAGGAGGAGGUAAUCCUCAAACAUUACCACAGUUAUGACUGAGGGCUGCAACUCGCCCUCACGAAUAUGGAAUCCCUAGUAACUGCGUGUCAUUAUCGCGCGGUGAAUACGUCCCUGCUCCUUGCACACACCGCCCGU